UACGUAGGUGGCAAGCGUUGUCCGGAAUUAUUGGGCGUAAAGCGCGCGCAGGUGGUUUCUUAAGUCUGAUGUGAAAGCCCACGGCUCAACCGUGGAGGGUCAUUGGAAACUGGGGAACUUGAGUGCAGGAGAGAAGAGUGGAAUUCCACGUGUAGCGGUGAAAUGCGUAGAGAUGUGGAGGAACACCAGUGGCGAAGGCGGCGUCCUGGACCAACACUGACACUGAGGAGCGAAAGCCAGGGGAGCAAACGGG
RNAcentral lists this ribosomal RNA (253 nucleotides) under uncultured bacterium. RNAcentral describes it as "partial 16S ribosomal RNA". It matches the Rfam family "Bacterial small subunit ribosomal RNA", at positions 524 to 776 of the family's 1533-position model. The record is from RNAcentral.